GAUGAACGCUAGCGGCAGGCCUAACACAUGCAAGUCGAGGGGUAGAACACUUCGGUGUUUGAGACCGGCGCACGGGUGCGUAACGCGUAUGCAAUCUACACUUUACAGGGGAAUCGCCACGAAAAAUUAGGAUUAAUGUCCCAUAGCAUUACGACUUGGCAUCAAGAUGUAAUUAAAGUACCAACGGUACAAGCUUAGGAUGCGUCACAUUAGUUAGUUGGUAAGGUAACGGCUUACCAAGACGAUGAGGGGUAGGGGUCCUGAGAGGGAGAUCCCCCACAGUGGUACUGAGACACGGACCAGACUCCUACGGGAGGCAGCAGUGAGGAGUAUUGGUCAAUGGUCGCAAGACUGGACCAGCCAUGCCGCGUGCAGGAAGACGGUCCUAUGGAUUGUAAACUGCUUUUAUACAGGAAGAAACCCUCCCACGUGUGGGAGCUUGACGGUACUGUAGGAAUAAGGAUCGGCUAACUCCGUGCCAGCCGCCGCAGUAA
Molecule: ribosomal RNA, 494 nt
Filed under: uncultured bacterium
Lineage: Bacteria
Description: partial 16S ribosomal RNA
Rfam family: Bacterial small subunit ribosomal RNA
Source: RNAcentral